This 714-nucleotide long non-coding RNA is filed under the name Brassica napus (rape). Its description in RNAcentral is "long non-coding RNA (BNAP_LNC005097)". Lineage: Eukaryota; Viridiplantae; Streptophyta; Magnoliopsida; Brassicales; Brassicaceae. The record is from RNAcentral.
GCAUGUUGCUCGAUCCUGAUCCAGCGACGGAUCCGCCCCCUGAUGACGCGCCUCCACCGCCACCGAGCCUGCGACGACGCAUGCCGGCCGUAGCGGCGGCGGAUCCACGGGGAGCGGCCAGACCGGGCCUGGCGGUUGAUGAAGCGGUGGAGGUUGAUUGUUGGGACUGGGAAGAGCCUCUCGCCAUUGUUGUGUUGUACGGAAAAGGGUAAAGAGAGAGGUGAAGGAAGAUGAUAAAGGAGGGUGGUGAAGGAAAGGCAAAAUGGUAAAUAAAGUCAAAUCUGGGGGUACUUUUAGGUGUAUAGAAUGAUCAGGAAGAAACGUGGAGUCGUAGUAGAAACCAAUGAGUCAACUGCUUUGGUUGGGCGUUACUUUCGGUGAGUUGAAUGUUGUACGAUCAAAUAGUAUUUUGGGUAAAGUUUCUAUAAAUACACAAAAUAAUUUAUACUACAGUUUAUGAAAAAACAUGGAUGAAUUAUGGUGAAUAUUUUGGUCCUGAUGGAAGGGUUUUGUUUAUGAAAUUUAAGAUUUUCUCGGAUUUGUUGUACUGUAUCUAAGCCCGAAUAAUAUGGGGCCUUAUUGUUUUGUAAUUUCCAUUAGAGAAGAUAUUGAAAUAUUUAGAAAAAGGGACAUGAAGACAUAAGAAAUUUUGCUAAAGAUAUGGUGGGAAUUGUGUAUUUGCAGCACUCUUUUGACACGAAAAACUGAGUCCGA